GCUUGCUUCAGCAAUACAUGUACUAAAACUGGACCAAUACAGAGAAGAUUAGCACUGCCCCUGCGCAAGGAUGACAUGCAAAUUCAUGAAACGUUCUAUAUAUUU
Nycticebus coucang (slow loris) is the source of this 105-nucleotide small nuclear RNA. Lineage: Eukaryota; Metazoa; Chordata; Mammalia; Primates; Lorisidae. The record is from RefSeq and is a predicted model, not a curated record.